This 83-nucleotide microRNA precursor is filed under the name Chlorocebus sabaeus (green monkey). RNAcentral's name for it is "miRNA (ENSCSAG00000025719.1)". Lineage: Eukaryota; Metazoa; Chordata; Mammalia; Primates; Cercopithecidae. The record is from RNAcentral.
UAUUAGGUUGGUAUAAAAGUAAUUGUGGUUUUUGGCAAUAAAAAUGGCAAAAACCACAAUUACUUUUGCUCCAACCUAAUACA